GAUGAACGCUGGCGGCGUGCCUAAUACAUGCAAGUCGAGCGAACAGACCAGGAGCUUGCUCCUCUGACGUUAGCGGCGGACGGGUGAGUAACACGUGGAUAACCUACCUAUAAGACUGGGAUACCUUCGGGAAACCGGAGCUAAUACCGGAUAAUAUAUUGAACCGCAUGGUUCAAUAGUGAAAUACGGUUUUGCUGUCACUUAUAGAUGGCUCCGCGCCGCAUUAGCUACUUGGUAAGGUAACGGCUUACCAAGGCGACGAUGCGUAGCCGACCUGAGCGGGUGAUCGGCCACACUGGAAGUGAGACACGGUCCAGACUCCUACGGGGAGCAGCAGUAGGGAAUCUUACGCAAUGGGCGAAAGCCUGACGGAGCAACGCCGCGUGAGGGAUGAAGGUCUUCGGAUCGGAAAACUCUGUUAGUAGGGAAGAACAAAUGUGUAAGUAACUAUGCACGUAUUGACGGUACCUAAUCAGAAAGCCACGGCUAACUACGUG
RNAcentral lists this ribosomal RNA (497 nucleotides) under uncultured bacterium. Its description in RNAcentral is "partial 16S ribosomal RNA". It matches the Rfam family "Bacterial small subunit ribosomal RNA", at positions 28 to 507 of the family's 1533-position model. The record is from RNAcentral.